GUUGCCAACGCUACGGGCGGGAACUCUCGGCGGACUGCCGGCGACAAGCCGGAGGAAGGUGGGGAGUGACGUCAAGUCAUCAUGGCCCUUAUGUCCAGGGCGACACACGUGCUACAAUGGGCGGCACAACGGGAAGCGAAGGGGUGACCUGGAGCGGAUCCUAAUAAAGCCGUUCCCAGUUCGGAUUGGAGUCUGCAACCCGACUCCAUGAAGCUGGAAUCGCUAGUAAUCGCGGAUCAGCCAAGCCGCGGUGAAUACGUUCCCGGGCCUU
RNAcentral lists this ribosomal RNA (271 nucleotides) under uncultured Aminiphilus sp. RNAcentral's name for it is "partial 16S ribosomal RNA". It matches the Rfam family "Bacterial small subunit ribosomal RNA", at positions 1114 to 1382 of the family's 1533-position model. The record is from RNAcentral. Lineage: Bacteria; Thermotogati; Synergistota; Synergistia; Synergistales; Aminiphilaceae.